RNAcentral lists this long non-coding RNA (2341 nucleotides) under Gossypium barbadense (sea-island cotton). Its description in RNAcentral is "long non-coding RNA (GBAR_LNC012354)". The record is from RNAcentral. Lineage: Eukaryota; Viridiplantae; Streptophyta; Magnoliopsida; Malvales; Malvaceae.
CAUUAGCCAUUUCCGUAGCUCCAGCACGGCCGAUACCAAGUCGUUUUAUUCGUCUUCGAAUUCGGGUUCCAGGACGCCCCCGCCUUAUGCACACACGCCUGCCAAAAGCUACAAGGAUUUUAGAAGCUAUUUAGACCAUAAACAGCAUCUGGCAGCAUCAUCUCAAACAAAGAACAAUAUUGGACAAACAAAAUCAACAGCUUUACAACAUGAUACAACAAAAGACUAUUCUUGGUUGGAUGAGAAACUCAAGUUCCUUGAUGACUACUCAGAAAAACAUCAUAACCUCGGUGCUCGCCAUCAGGAUAAAGCUAGGAAUCGAGCUGAUCGAUAUCUAGCAGAAGGGAAAGGUUUCAGGAAUUUCAAUGAGGUCGAUGAUGGUGCCGAUAGCGAUUCGAGCUCCGAUCUGUUCGAGCUCCAAAACUACGAUUUAGGUAUCUAUUCAGGUGGUUUACCUGUGUAUGAAACAACACAUAUGGACAGCAUCAAGAGAGGAGCACCAAUUUCCAAUGGUGCACUAUGAAACUAUACAUUUUCAACUUGUUGAUGAUGGGUUCCAUUUGUUUCCAUUGCCAUUGUAGGCAUUAGAUUUUGCUCGUCUUUUUUUUCUUCUUCCCUAUUGCUAGCUUCUUUGAAAGUUCGUUGAAUGCUUUUUCCCCUUUUUUUUAUUUUCUCUGUAUGUACAGUUUGGAAUGUUUAUUUGUCUUCACUUUCUGAAUCUUCUUUUCUUUCUUUGGAGCUAGCAUGGAUCAAGGCAAAAAGAAAACCAUUAAAGUAUCCCAUAACCAUUCUAGUGGUUCGCUUAGGUUGUGCCAUGAUUAAUGGCUCAAACAUCAGAAGAAAAGGCCAUCAUCACAUUGCAUUAUAUGGAUUAAUAUAUUCUAAUCUUUAACUUUUGGACCCUAAUCAAUCAUAGGUUAACACAUUAAUUAAUAUUUCCUACCUGUACGUGUGCUUCAUCUAAGCUUUUUCCUUCUCUCUUUCUUUUUUUUUUUUUUUUUGUUCCUUCCUAUACUACAUUUUUUUUCAUGGAAAACAAACAAAAAAUCUAUCUGCUGAUUUUAAAGGGUCCCUUCAUUUUUCAGCAAAUUCAAUGGAACUCACUUGAAAGCUACCAAGAAUUCAUAGAAAAAGGGGGGUAAAAUUGAUGUAUGAAUUUCAUAUCAUAACAAUACUGCAUUUCACCUAAACCCCGAAUAAUUAAGAUUUUGAUUAAAAGCCACACAAAGCUGCUGUCUAAUCAAACAACCAACAUAGAAAGGCAAGUAUUGUUUAUAUACUAACAUAUUUUUGUAGUUAAAGCAAAUGGACAAAAACCUUAACUACAUGAUCCAUAUAGAUAAGUUAUAUCCUAAAACAUAUCAUUGCUAAUUAUAUGAUCAUUCCAUAAAUCUUUGCAUACGCAAAUAGUUUUAUGCCUUUAAUUAUGCCGGACCGCAACAAGUGAGUUGACUUUAAACAUAAUCAAAUGAUGGAUUGGCGUAGUUAAAAGGGUAAUCUAAAAGUGAGUUUUGUGUUCAUUUGGAAACAAAAUAAAAGCCUAAAGCUACAUUGAUGAUGAAACCUAUUGUAGCCUUUAGUAAGUAUGAUGCUGAAAAUUUGAUGUACAAAGAGCACAAAAUAAAAAAGCCUAUAAGAAAGGGAAUGAUGCAUACCGAUAUGGUACAUUAGGCACCAUAAGGAUCUGCAGGAUGGGCCUGCCCUGUGAUUUUUUAUUCUUUUUUCAAAGUAAAUGUGAUUACCAUAUUUUGAUUGAAGAGAAAGAGGAGACAAAGACAAAAGGUAAGCUUUGCUUUUAGGCAAUGAAGAAUCAUUCUUUAAAAAAAAAAGAAAAAAAAGGCUGAUAUAACAAACCAACCAAGAGAAAAACGCAAUCGAAAACUGCUAUCGCUGCGAGAUUAACUCCAUUUAUCCUUCCUUUUCAAUCACCUAAAAAGUACCACCCGAGUGACCCGUCGCCAAGACGGUAUCGGACCUUAUUUCCGAGGCAUGAAAAGGGACUUAUCCAAAAUGGUUUAUGACCAAGUAUGAUUAUUAGAACAAUAACCAAAUUAUCCUGUAGAGAAAUCAUUAUGUUACAUGUUUAUCCUAAACAACAUAAUCAAGCAUCAUGUGUUGUGUAUUUCAUGAUAUAUUCUUUGGCUAAUGAUACAUGAAUUUUUUGGUUCAUACCUUUUUCAAUAGACAUAACAAUCAAUGUUGGCUUCUCAAGCAAGGAAUCAUCUUUACUCAUAGAUAUCAACGAAGCACUGAUUCUGCUUACAAAGUAGCUGAAACUGAAAUCAUAAAAAAGGAAUUGUUAGAGAAAGCAACAAAUACAAGUUGAAGCUUUUUUUGCUUC